Gallus gallus (chicken) is the source of this 15393-nucleotide long non-coding RNA. Lineage: Eukaryota; Metazoa; Chordata; Aves; Galliformes; Phasianidae. The record is from Ensembl.
CAGAAUUAAGUAUAGCUGCAAACCUGCUAUGUGUGUGCAUUUUUUUGAUGGAAAUCACCCACUAGGCUGUAGCAUAUGUAUGGCUGAGUAAUAGCUUCUUCUGUGCUGAGCUGGCUGCGGCUCAUCGUUCGCUGCACAUUCACUCCAUGUUAAAGGCCAGACCCUGCUUCAUUACACAGUGUCUUAACCUUGUUUUGCCCUUCUAUCCAAUGACAGCUGCUUUGUUUCCUUUCGCUAGCAGUCAAACAUCACAAAUUCCUUCUCUGUAAAGCCAUUAAAAGAGAACCAACACCACCCCAAGUGGUUUCAGGACUAACUGAUUUAGAUGCUGGAGUCUGUUGCAGGGCCAAAAAUAACUCCCCAUUUCUUUCUCCUUCAUUGGUGAAAGGAGAAGAGAAAGUGGCCAAUGACAGAGACACAACUUCCCCGUAGGCACCAGAGACAAAUCUAUUUCAUAGCAGGAAAAAAAAAUAAUGCUCCUGAAAAAUGUUUCUUUGCUCGGGCCAAUAGACACAGAACCGCUGCAUGUAAUUUUGCUGAACCGAUGGUAUCACUUGAAUGGCUCACGGACUACAUAAAAUGCAUUACAUAAUUAUAUUUUUAAACACUGUCCCCAGCUGUGCUGAUGCACACAAAAGCUGUGUUUACAAUGGACUCUGCACAUGUAAUUAUUUUGUGGCACUAGCUCCGCGCAUUUCCUUGAUGGAUGCUCCAUGGUGCAUAAAAUUGUAGCUUUUAUCAAGAUUCUUGGAUGUAUUCUUUGGCUGUUUCAGCUUUAAACACCCAGCUGUCCUCACAUGGGUGUGCAGGCCUGAUGUCUGGGAGGGGUAAGUUAUAGCAUCUGGGGAACACCUUGCUCUGGGAGCUGCAGGGGGGAACGGUGAUCAGCUGGAAGCAUGCUGAGCAGCAGAGCCUGCUGCUCCUCUCAGGGAGGUUUGCUGCGCUGUUCCUUGGGAUGUGGCACCUGCUCUGCUCCUAUUUGUCUUGCACAUCUUCAUCCUAGCCCCGUUAAGGCUGUAGCAACCCGACCCAGCCACUUUGCAGCACAGGGGGGCGAGGUGGUGCCUUGCAUCUGUGCAGGUGCAGGAGAGAAGGGGCUGCAGGCUGUGGUUGCAAAGUCAAACAGCGUGGCUUGCAGGGUACCAGACCCAAAGAUCAGCUUUGGUUUGUAUUCUGUUCCGUUUGCAUACAGAAAGCUCCCUUGGCUGUUCUCCAUCCUGUUCUGGAAUACCGAGUGUUUCUCCAUCUGAACGCAGUGGCUGAUGUGUGGGACUCAGCAAAGAGGACAGUGGGAUAUUUAUCUUAGAUCUGUUCCAGUGCUCUUGAGUAUUAAUAUCACUGUGAAAACCUAGAUGCUGGAAGGAUCGGUACGCAUCACGGUCCAAGAGUUUUGCCUGCCAAGCAGUAAAGCUUGGAAAUAAAUAAAGACAAAAAGUAAUAGUCCUGAGCAUCGGUUUCAAAGUAAUGGGAUAGCAGCACUGCUGGUAGCGACCUUUUUAUUACUAUCACUGCAGAGAACUGGCGGAUUUUUCUUGUCAAUAAGCAAGAUGGCUUGGCACCGUAUCUCUCAUCCCUUGGGUACGAGACUCCACAGAGGAAAUGCUGAUGUUGUCGUGAGCCAAUUUUUAAUAGCAGGUGUUUGGUUGGAACUCCAGCCUGCCUUGUGGCAGCAGGGAGUGCGAGUCCUUCUGUUACCAUUCCUUGCUCUUUUCAGCCCUGCGUUUGACUGUGGAAGCUGAGAGCCUGGGGGAAGUUGCGCCAUGUAAAGCAGUCAUUGCUCAAUAGUGAAUGAGUUAUUCCACAGCAAAUGGUCUGGCUGCUGGUACACCAAGUUUUCCACUCUCACAUGAAUACAGUCAUUUCCCAUCAUGGAAACUGUGUGGCUAUGGAUGCCCUUAGCAUUCCCCCUGUCUGGCAUGUUAAGUUUACAUACCAGCUUUGAGGCUGCUGGUCCGUUUUGCACCAAAGGGUCAGGCGAUGGAGGAAGAAUCUCUGGAGUGGAAAAAAUGUGGAACUGCAGAAGUUUAUUGUAUGUUUGUUUGCAUAGCCUGCCUUCCAGAUAAAUCGCAUCUCUCCUAGUACAGCAGCGCUGGAAAAAGAGCCCUUGGAUGACCCACUUGGAGUCUGAGACACCAGAGGGGCUACUUCAGAAAAGAAAGCAGAGGAAGGCGCCAGAAGCCAUGCAGAAGAAACACAUCUGGAGUAAGCAGUGCUUUGUGUUGUCCACGUGUGUGCACGUGCUGCAUCUGGAUCACAAGCCAUUGUUAUUUUAUUGGGGAUAGUGUGUCUUGUACAUAUACAGACUGCAUUUUUCACCCUGCAUGCUUCUUACUAAGGCAUAACGUAUUACUUUCUCAAGGGCCCAUUUCCUACUGCUCCCUUUAUCUUCCCUUAGGGAGCCCCACUAGAGUCCAUCAGCCACCUAGGCCAAAAAUAUGUUUUUCAAAUGCCUGAUCAUCUAAUACCAAUCAGCAUAAUUCCACCUGCUUUGAUAAAGCUGUGACUUAAGCCAGUGAAGAUCAAACUCCUUGAUAUUUAAUGCAACAUAGAUAAGCUCAAAAACUUGUGAGCAAGGAAUAUUUCUAGGUGUAACACGUUUCUGCCAUUACUCCACGAUAUUAGCUGCAGUUUCUUGCUGCAGAUGCUUGUUCAAGGCUCAUGUUUAUCUUUAGAGAAGAUGGAAAUAGGAGUUGCCUGUCUUUUGCAAAAUGCUGAUGCUGUGUACAAGCAGAAGUAAGAAUUCACGCAGAAGUGAAGACAAGUCUUGCAGUUCAACAGGAAGAAAACAGAUGUCUUUAGACUGCUGUUUGAACCUUGACCAUUGCCCUUUUGUACCUCUGAGUCACCAGAGGCUUCUGUUUCCAAAAACAAGAUAAUGCCUUGAAGAGCCAAAGUUCAGUGUAAAUUAUGUCACGACUAUAGGAGCUGAGGUGUCAUCUUUGCUGCAGCGAUUCCCUCUUGGAAAUGUUCGAUAAAGCGUGGAAGAAAGUGGCACUGACUCGAUAUAUCUCUGGAGCACUGCAAGUCCAUUCCUGCCAUACUACUAACUGAGGGAAGCGUUUUCUUUUUUUAAUUCCACAAAGCUCUAUAACUGUAUUAUCCAAGCAGCUAAGCACUCAGAUUACGUAAGCUGAACAUAAUAGGAGGUCUGUAAAACUUUGCUGCUCACAGUCUUGGAAAUUUCUACAUUGCUAUUUAAUGGUGACUCAGCUGCAGAUCUCCCAGAUGAUCUCGGAGAACACAUGAUGGGGUUCCGUCUUUGGGAGAGCAGAAUGUGGCCCUCAAGUAUGGCCGCGGCUGGGGCCUUGCUCUCCUGUGCACCCUCAGCUGCUCUGAGAGGUCUUGAGCUGCUGAUCAGCAGAUACUCACUGCCACACCUUCCGGUUCUGUCCUUCUAGGAAUGUUUACCUUGUGUUUUCAAAGCAAUCCACCUCCUGAUUUGCACAGCAGGAGAAUUUAACUGUCGUGCCAGAUAGCAACCUCAAAAUGUACUUUUACGGUCUGUUUCUUCUAAAGGAUAUUUUUGGCCGUAUAAGUGAUGUUUUAAGAAUAAUUUGACUAAGCACUAUUUUUAUGACAUGUAUAGCUUCAUAGCGCAUUACUAACCAUAUGGCCAAACACAGUGCCUGAAGUUACAUGGCAGAGUUUACUGCCCAGUCGGAAUGAAAAACAUCUAUUUUUGAAUGGCUGUGUAUUGGGGGGAAAAACAUGAGUCUUAUGGGAAGCAGCUGAAGGAACUGGGAUUGUUGAGUCUGGAGUAGAGGAGGCUCAGGGGAGAUCUUAUUGCUCUCUACAGCUGCCUGAAAGGAGGUUGUGAUGAGGUAGGUGUUGGCCUCUUCUCCCAGGUAACAGCGAGUGAUAGGACAAGAGGGAAUGGCUUCAAUUUGAGUCAGGGGAGUUUCGGUUGGGGUAUUAGGAAAAACUUCUUCACAUAAAGAGUGGUCAAGCCUUGGGACAGGCUGUCCAGGGAGGUGGAGCAGUCACUGGCCCUGGAGGUGUUGAAGGAAGGGGAAGAUGUUGUACUAAGGGACGUGGUUUAGUGGGAAAUAUUGGUGGAGGGUGGACGGUUGGACUAGAUGAUCUUAGAGGUCUUUUCCAACUCUAAUGAUUCUGUGAUUCUAUGAUUAUAUUUAAAAGUCACAACCUUGUGACCUUUCUUGGUUUUCUUGGUUUUCCCUUGGUCUUGAAUGAGGCUCAUCAUCGUAUCUUACCUAGAUCUUAUCUUGGCAGUGGUAAGAGCUCAUGAGGCCAGAUGGCUCAUGGAAUGACUGGUGAGGGCUUUGUGGUGAAACUAUGUCAACUGUGACUGAAGUUUAUCAUUGGCAUUAUUUGACAGUGUAGGGUAUGUGAGCCCAGCUUGCUGUAGAGAUGUGUCUUCAAUGUGAAAUCCACUGACUCAGUUUGUAUCCGUUAGUGUUGGGCAGAAACACCAAGCACUGAUGUGGCACAGUGAUGAACUGCGCUCAGACGUAGCCUCUCUGGAUUAGAGCUGGGCUGUUCCAUGAGGCCAAUGAUGUUUCCAUUACUUUGUGUUUUCCUCUUCUGCAGACAAAUCAUUCCAGUCAGAUGCAUGCACACACUGGGAUGUUCAUGCAGAAACCCAGACUGGUUCUCCCAGGACCAGGCCCAACUACUCAGUUGGGACUGCCUUACUAACUGAGGCGUAACAGUAGUUAGGUGGGCCUCGAUGCAAAUGUCGCAGGGGGUUUCCCUGCAUGUUUCCAAUGUAUGACUCUACUGAAAUAUCCUCCUUCAGCUUGCUUGGUCACCAUCCCUGGCAUCUGCAAUGCUUUGUGGGUAGCUUUACUGUUCUCGUAAUACCAGCAGCUCUUGUACAAUCUCAAAUCAGCAGUUGUUCUCUUAAGUCAACGCAGGUUUCACCUAUCAUAUUGACUCAGUAGCACACUGCAAAAUUCACCUACUCCCUUAUUCUGCCAAUGAUCACAUCCUAUUACCUGUAAAGCGAUGAUCAACUUCCCCAUUUCUGCCAUAAAACGUAAUUUCCUGUGAGAAAGAACAAGCUCCACCUUCAGAGGGUUGCAAAUGAAACAGGGUGUGUUCAGGGGGUAGGAAGGGGACAUUUGCUGGUUUUGCUCUCGGGAGCCAGGAGACAAAGUGGGGAUCAGGGAAGUCAAGAGCUUUAGCCCUGGCUUUGGUAACGAUUUUCUGUAUGGCCUUUUGUGAGCUCUUUCACGUCUCCACCUCGUUCUGCCCAAGCCUAAAAUGGAGCUCAGAAUCGUCACUUUUCUAACACCUCCCCCUCCCCACACACGGAGGGAGUUGUGAGCAGGUUUAAUGUUUAUCUCGGAGGCUUUGAACGGUAUCAUCCAUCCAGGGAAUGUAUGCGGGCAUUCAGACCCCACAGUGAGCUUUAUAAAAUCGUCAAGAAAUAAAAAGGCAUCUAUAUUAAUCAUAAAUCAAGGACUGGAACAGAACACUUGGUUAACAAACCUGCGAAACAAGCUUUGUUUCAUUGGCUUGCGCUGCUUUAUGGUUCUGUUUGUGUAUGUGGAAGUGAUGUUCAGUAUUUUUAAAUGAGUCACAGGACUGGAAGAACAAAAAUAUUGGAUGGUAACAUAUAGCAGCAAAACAAUUACUCUUUUCAUUCUGACAAGCACAAUAACCAGAAUAGCUAGUUAGAGCUGGAGGUCUGGGCACAGAGCUCCUUUCGAUCUACCAGAGAUUUUCGAUCUACUUGCAAGACAGGCAAGCAGAACUGAAAUGUUAUAAUGAUAAAAGAUAGCAUUAGGUGAAACAAUAAAAUCAAGCAUGCCGUUGGGGUAUGGGUAUUUACAGGCAUGAAGGCUCUCCCGAUCAGUGCUGCAUGCAGAAUGCUCCCACAGCCAGCCUCGUCUAGCAGCUUUCUGUACCUUUAUCCAGAGGAGACUCCUUUCCACCCUGCUUGCUGCAUUGCACCACUGAUUUAGUGAAGACAUCAUCCUCAUAAGGAUGCUCUUCUAACUCACCUCUGAAAUCUGCUUGCUUUUCUCCUCUGACAAUUAGGUUUAAAUGUGCUGCAGCAAAGUACUCAUCCUUAACAGUCGUAUGGCUUUUUAAGUGAUAAACUGCAUUAGCAAAUUCCUUAUUAGAUAAUCUAUCAAAUGAGGUCAUACGUAAUUUUAGCAGUCUCAUCUUGAUUUAUAACACGAUCGCAGCAAAUUACGCAUAGGAGAGCAGCGUGCUGGCUGUCACACUCAGGUGCUCUCACUGUGCUGGGACAGCAGUGCCCAGGCUGGCCGGCAGCUGGCAGCCCUCCCUGUUGCCACAGUGGGACCCAGCUGACUUAGAGCCCUGGGGCUCAGCCCUGGCUUUCUUGGGACCCAUAGGACGUCGAGGCAGGUGUCUAAGCCCUUGCUCCAAACCUCCUAGCAGUAGUCCUUUGUGGUGUUCGUUCUGACAGGCUUUCCCCUUAAAUAGGGGCAUCAGCUCUCCAAAAAGCCAGCUGAUGGGUGGGGUGCCUGCCUGCAGCCUGGCUGCCCGCCAGCCAAAGCCCAAGUGAUGAAAUCCAGGGGGAAAGGGAGGGGAAACACCGCUUCAGAAGGACGCUGUGCUGCUGCUGCUGCAGAUCCUCCAUCCCCACAGUGGAGGUGCUCCCGGGACCGGGAGGAGACGCAAUUCCUAUCCCCCAGCUGCAAACUUCUUCCACAAACAUUAUUUUAUCCUUUGAGAUUUAUCUGUAACUCCCGCAGGGGGAGCUGCAAUAAAUUAUCUGGCCUCGCCCUUCUCCUCACCUGCUCUCACCUCACGUUGGUAUUUCUGGGGUCUGAGCUGUGCUGAGCCUCGAGGGCUCGUGUCAUCUGCAUGUCUCAGAAUAACUUAUGUCUCUCCCUCUGUACUUACGGCCAAACCCUGCCCGGGAAGGACAAAGGAGGAUGGAACGAGAUUUAUCCCUCGGCAUUGUAGGUAUCUGCCCCUAAGCUGUAAAAUAAGAGCUGAAUAAGAAUCUUGAUAAACAUUUCCUUGGGCAAUAUCAAAUAGAGGCCUAGCUAUCGCUGCAGGAAAACUUCUGGAAACUCUGAGUAGGCAGAACACCGCACUGCUUUUGGAGGAACGUUCCUGGAGUGAGGGACUGGAGAAAUCAAAGCAGUUCAUCGAGAAGAGUAAGCAAAGGGAACGCUUGCUGUGGAUGGCACUGCUGUUUUGCACACCCUAAGGUAAUUGUACCUAAUCCCAUUGAAUGAAUUUUUCAUGCAUAGGUAUACGCGAAGGCAUGUACAUACGCGUAUUUGUUGUGAUUAAAAUCUGUUCUGUCCUCCUUUACCAAGCUGUGUAUGGCAGAUUGCAGCAGAGCCUGGGGAAGGCAAUUAAAGACCCAGAUGAAGACCAGAACAUCAGACGUCCCUCUGGAGCCCACGUGCCCGAACUGCCGUUCCUCCCCACCCUAAUAUAAACAGCGGGGCAAAAGGGCUCAUUUCUCAGCUGCCACUGAGCAGCGUCGGCUGACGGCAGCGCCGGGACCCCCAAAGCCCUGCCCGGACCCCAGGAGGGGCCCGACCUCUCAGCCCUGCUCCCCGCAGGCAUGGGGGGCACAGCUCCAUCUCCGUGCCUGGCAGCGACGUGCCCACGGGCCCCCAGCAGCGAGCAGCCCGGGUUGGACGCUCGUGCUGCAGACCUGCCUCUGCAGAGGUGUUUGCAGCCAUUGGCACGGGCGCUGCAGAGCCGUUGCCUGGCAGCACGCGCGUCCUCUUCCCCGUGACGAGCGCUGAGCGUCGUCUCCAUCGACCCGACCGCCUCCCAGGCUUCAGCUCCCUGCCCGGGAUAGAGAGCCAAAGGCAGCCUGCGUGCGGGAUGCGGAGACCGUUGCGCUAAACCUCACAGGCUUGAAGGCUCAAGCUGCACGAGGGCAGGCAGGAGCUGCUCUCUUCUCACUGACCGUUUGCCAUGACAUGAGAAUGAACAUCGUGCAACAGGCGACCUACAGCUACAGCUCCAUUCUCCACAGCAUCCCCGCCUUGAGCAGUGGCAGUGGCACAGCAAAGCUGGGCAAACCAAGAGGGGCAGGGACCAGCUGCAGGGAGGUGCAGGGAGGCAGCACGGAAGUUCACCCACCUUCAGAUGAAAAGGGAAACCGGUGGUGGGAAGGGCACGAGAGGAGCAAUGGCGCGAUGGGGAUGGGAAUAGCUGCUGAGGCUGGAGGAGGGUGGGGAGGAAGGGCUGCUCCUGCAUCGCCAGCCCCAGCUCUAGCACCAAACACAAGCAUGAGCUGUCACUGCUGUGGAAUGCAGCAGAUGGCCAAAUUGUUAGAUUCUCCCUUGCAAGAGCAAAAUGAUAUACUGUUUUUUACCAUCCUUGCCUGGAGCUGAGUGCUUGCUUCGCAUACCAUGAAGAUAUACUGUACAAAGGUACUUCGUGCCAGAAAUGUGCUCUAGUGAUAAUCAGGAGAAAACUGUGCUUAAAGUGACAUUUAAAAAAUAAUUAUUAUGGUCCAUUGCUGUUAGUCACACGUCCCCAAAGCUGAUCUGGCUAACAGAGCUUUCCAAAGCAUUUUUCCUUGAUAUGUCAUCUGGAAAUUAUGCCAUCGUGCUGUCACCGUGUCUUGCCUUGCAAUCACCCGGACACUAUCUAUGUGCUCACACACACCAGUUUUUUUCCCUCUUUUAGGGGGAAAGAAAUUCUCUUUUCCUUUCUCUGUUUCUCACGCUGCUUUGGCUGUGGUCAUACCGCUUCUUGGCUCAGCCAUUUGCUGGAGAGAAGAGGCCUUACUGCUGCAGUGCUGGCUAUGAAGCACCGCGAUCCCACCUCCCCUUGCUUGAGGCCUCAGCCAGCAGCACUGCUGGGCCCUGAUGUGCCCCGCAGCAGCUGAAGGCUCUGCAGAACCCAGGUCUGUGUACAGAUGCUGCAGAGCUCACCUGCGUCAUACUAAUAUCAGGUGCUUGAAACUUUAUAUUGGAGGCCCAGGGCUGUGAGUGGCGAGUCAUUGCAGCAGGUGUGCUUUGCCAGCUCCAGCUCUGAGCUGACGAUAAGGGAGAGGGGGGAGGCUCUCAAGAGAGCCCUGGCGGAGACUGAAGUGGAAGAGAAAACCCAGAGUGCCUGGUAAGCCUGUUUAUUGAUCCGUCUCAAUGAAUGCAAAACCCAGGGCAAGGAUCAACGUGGUCUGCAAUCAAGUGAAUGGUAGAGAACGAUCAUUUUCUUGUUGAUGUCUUUUGCGUUCCACUGGAUAUGCUUUGUAAGGAUCGUUGUCUGCUGAGUAUAUGGUGCGCUCUCUCUUCCUGACAGUCCUUUAAAACUUGGACACGUUUUGUUUUCUUUAUAUGGAAAGGCUUCAGUGGGUCAUCUGUAAGCUUUGUUUCCAAAGGUGUUAGGAUGUCUUAAACCUUCAUUAUAGCCUGCCUUUCCUUUGCUGCCCAUCUACAGAACACUCCUGCCUGUGUCACUGCGGUUUGUGCUGCAGCAGCACAUCCUCCCUCCUCUCCUUACACUUUCUCUCAUCCCUUUGCUCAGAAGCUCCUGCUAAGCGUCCCACAGCCAUGACACACUGGCCUACCAGCCUCUCAUCUCCAGUGAAACCUCCAAAUCUCCCCUCUGAGGCCCCCAGUAACUUCCUCUCUGAACUUGCUCCUCUGUUUCUCAGUCAUUCCUCCUUCCUGCUCAUUUUGUCUUGUUCUCGGAUGGUUCAACGCUGCUUUCUUCUUCCUGCUCAUCUGGCACCUGGGUCCAUCUCCUAUCUUCCAUUAGCCAAACAUUCCCUCUCUCAUUCUGUCCAAUCUACCCUGAAUCCCCAUCUUCUUCCCUGGCAAAACUAAACUUCCUCCAGCCAGGUAACAAGGGGGAUCUUUUCUGCGCUGAUGUGAAGGCACGCUUUGGCUAGGUAAAGACAUUAAAACACGCAUUUCUGAAUUAUCCUUAAAGCUGCUCAAGGAAUAAAUGCAAGCUGCAGGCUAUUAGAAUAGGUCUGGGGUCUUGUUUUCUCUACUGCCUUACACUCUCACGUCAUCACUGUCUAUGUUCAAGUUGCUUUUAGCAUCUUUACAUUCCUGCUCAUGACAAACAAUAGGGAACAGCUCCCGUAGAGCACAGGAAAUAUAGCAGCAAGUGUCUCGCAUCCAUUUUUCAUCUGUCAUCAAAUAGCUUUUAUUCAUGGCAUAGCACAAGUGUCAGCCAACUGGCAAAGACAGCCUGUAUUAAAAAUGCUGGGGAUUAUUCAUGUCAACAGGCACAAGGGAGCUCUUCUCGGUUGGCGGACCUGCAGCAGCAGUGCUAUGGAAAUGCAGCAGGUCCUCCAGAGUAAUCUCAAAUCUGAACAACUUCAGAAAGAGGCCAACAACUGAUGAUCAUUUCCAAGCACAAUUCAAAAAACAAAAUCUAGCACAAUCAGAUGAGAGCUUGGGUAGAGGGUUAGCUGUGGGUACGCAGGAAAGCUUAUAUCAGAAGCAUGUUAUGUAGAAGGACUAAGGUGAUAUUUUUAUAACAGUGCUUAGAUUGAAGAUGGUCUGCAGGCUGUGAGCUGGUGCUUUCUUCUGGAGUUGACUUCUGGUUAGGUAAUUAUCAGGUAGACGGGGCCUCGGCCCCUCUGAUUGCAGGCCUUGACUGCUUGAACGUAUUGGGAAUGUGAUCUUCACUGGCCAAGUGAUUUGUCUUUUAUGGACAAGGUAUAAUUUAGAAAUCAGUAAUUCUUUUUCCUUUUAGUGAUUUUUUUUUUUUUUAAAGCCCCGUUUCACUGAAAAUCUCUGUUACUAUAUUUGUCAGACCAUUACUAAGGAAAAACAGAACAUAAGAUGGACACAAACAACAAAACUGCUUACCUUAACACAUGAGGUAAUAUAGGAAAAUUACAGAGAUUUCAUAUAUCUCAAGUUAGCUCCGAAGGGCAGUUCCCCAUUGAUUAUUUCAAGCCCGCUGUAUUUGCAAAAUCCUCUAUAUCCUGCCACCUCUUCUUGCCUUUUUGAAUUGUUACUGUUGAAGCGUGUGGCCUGCUUCUCUCCCCCCUCCAUUACUGUGGACUUGUUUCAUUCUCUAAACUGAUGCUAUGUGCAUGUGACAUCAGGAGCAAUGUAAGUGGAAGAUAAAAAGUAAGGCCCGUGCAAGUGAUCACGAAUGAGGUGACCUCAUCUGAUCUGACACAGAUCUACGUUCCACUUAUGCUCCGGAAAAUCUUGGAUGCUGUAUUUUAGUAAAAACCUCAUUUCUGCACAAACGCGUGAUACAGAAGAAGCCCAACCAGCAAAACCUGAAGAUGUAUCCCAUGGCAUCUCCAUGACAACGUAUAGAUGCACAUUCUGCUCCAUACAUCCGCACGGGCAGACGGCUUGCUCUCAGCUCACCCACUACAGAGCUGAAGGCAGGCCAAGGGCUGCUGCAGUGAAAGGUGCUGGGAUUUAAUGUGGAAACUGCAGCUCAUCGUUCACGCAGGAUAAAACUGUGGCAAAUGAAAGAGCCUUCUCAGAGGGUGAGCUGUGUACUCGAGCUCUGGUUGCUGAGCUGCUCGGUGCCAGGGAGGCAUGGUGCUGGCAGGUGUCCGGUGGGCACUGGGAGCCACAUGGAGGCCCUUCGCUAGGCACUCCAAGGCUUUCUGGAGGGCUGUUGCUACACCUCAGUGGCAGAGCUAGAUAAGAACAGGAGGCAGUUUGGGUUAAUGAGUUACUCUAGAGGUUGUUCCCGCCCUGCACAUGCAGGAUGGAGGGCGAGUGAUCCUGUGGAGGCCCCGAGGCAGCAAGUGCCAUCACUGCUCCUCGGGGGCAUGCGGGACACCAGACUGGCCAGCAUCCCCGAGCAGUGACAGCCUCAGUAAAUCCCCUCUCCUGGCUGCCUUCCUACCCUGCCUCAUGCCCUGCCAGUGUGCCUGGCGUCCCACCCACUGAAGCAGCCAAAGCGCUGCAGUUUCACACCCAGCUGAUGAUGCGGGGCUCCUCCAUCCGCUGUGCCCCCAGCACAGCCCCAGCCCGGCUGCUGCAGUGCCCGCAGUGCAGUCUGUGGAGCUGAACCGAUGCCUGCAGCAUUCCAGAGAUAUUUGCUAUAAGCAGGGCGGUGCAUUCAGCUGCCCAACAGAGCAAGGCUGGCUUCUCCAUCCUUGUUUCUGAUAUCUGUGCUGGAACAUGGAAAUUCACCUGCGCCUGUAAGCAAGGCACCUUAAGCAAGUUAGCUCUGCUGCUCAAGUUUCCUUUCCGAGACAUGGAGAUAACAAUACUGACCUUCUUUGCAGAGCACUUUCUUGUUAGUUAUUAUUUUACAAGGCAUGCCACAUAAAGGCUGGUUGUUAUCUUUUGUUCGGCUGUAAAAAGUUCUCAGCCUAACAAUGGGGCAUGGCAUGUUACCAGCCAUAAAAAGAGUUACACUGAUCUUUAGCAUUUAAGAGUGGACCUUUGUUCUGCUUGGUUACUUAUAACCUUUACAGUGGUGUGGCUUAGUCUCUUACCUUUUUUCCUUUUUCCACACUCUGUGUAUAUGUACUGUGUACAUGUGGUUGACUUUUGCUUUUGUCAGGGUCAAAGAUUGCAUUUUUUAGCCUAACAUACCAAUGUCAGCCAAGUGACCAACCUGUGAUCUGCCAUUCAGCACAUUUCCUCUGAAAUAGAAGGAAAAUUAGUUUGCCAACAGACAAGAAGCACGGACGAGAAAACACAGAACCAAAAAGGACUAAAAGGAUUAUGAUCCCUAAGAAAUGAUCUGCCUUCAGCACAUAUUCUAUGAACAUGUCGUGCUGACUGCCAGAACUUGUCCAUACUUUGCAGCUUUCAUCCUGUUGCCAGAGCUGGCAGCUGUUAUCCUGGUUGCCAAUCUUCCUGUCCAGCUGUACAUCCUCCAGCCUGAAAACAUCUUCUUCAGCCUCUCAAGCUGAAGAAAGAGGAAGUAUCUACACUGUACUGGCACCACUACUGACCUUAUCAUAUGUGGAAUAGAUGGCACAGGAUCAGGAGAACAGAAACAGAUCCAUAGUCUCUUGGUGGAGAUGAUUUUGCAGGGCUGUGAUCCAAGCCAGAAGGCUGAGCAGGAGUCCACUUUCCAUGCACAAGCUACCACCGCAGAAAUGAUGUGCAAAAUGGCUCUUUUACUCUUCACUCAAGGCUUUUAAGGACAUUUGCAGACCUUGUACGCAGUGGGAAAGAGGCAGAGGAGGAGAGUGACUGGGCAGCCCUCCCUUCUUUCCAAGUGGAAGCGGCCUAGCAGGCUGUUUUUAUCUCCAGGACUCCUCCUGAAGGACAUGCUGAAUUAAUGCCCCAAGCAGGAGUGCAGCUGAAGGCUCACCGUGCCCUACAGAGAAGUGACAACACAGCCGCAGGUGGCAGGACCCCUCCCUUGGUCUUUGUGCCCUUCAGUGGUGGACGAAGGCUCCAGCGAGGUGUUUGCAGCCUACAGAGGCCAUGAGCACGGUGCCUCUGCCUGUUGGUUCACCAAGCGAAGGCAACAGAGUCAAAGUAGCGGAAGGCCUGUGCACGAUGGGGCUGUGAUACUGGCCUGGGUGAGCAGCUAGCACUAAUUUGAGCAGCCCAAAGGUCACGACUAUUUAUGCAGAUAAAAGGUCAGUGGCAAGCUGGCAGGUGGCUGUGGGCUAUCUUGGUACGCGCUGCGCCCCGGGCGCUGAUGUCUGCGUCUGGUUCACAGUUAGUUUGUCUUUCCACAUGGACUUUCAGGCCAGGUUCUGGCUGAAAUAAAACACAACGGGGAAAGAAAUCUCUGGUCGUGUGAGUUGAUGCUGUUGGGAGACAGCUGCAGUUUUUGUGGCUUGGGCUCAUCUGUAGCUAAAUCAAACCUUUGAAUCAUUAUUUAUAAAAGACAGCCAAAUUCUGAACCGUUUGCUCAGUGUUUAGUCAGCUCUUACAUGGACAAACUCCUGUGAAAGCGUGCGUGAUGGCAGACAAGGGAAAAACUGAAUCAGGUGCCCUGUUGAGAGGCAGCAUGUCUGGCCAGGAACUCCAGCAGCAGUGGGCGUCUGCACUGCAGGUGCCUGGGAAGAAGUCACCUCAGAGGGGCAGGACCUUACAGCACGGCCUGAAUUGCCAGAGCAUGUUCAGGUUAGCUGAAACAACAUCUAGGUGGGCGAAAAAGGGAAGCAAGUAUACUAUGUUUAGUCCAGUCAGAUUCUAUGCUAUGUAUGUUUGAAACUUUUAUAGUCAGUCAGUACCAGUGCCGCAUCCUUUGCUCUCAUUAAAGAGCAAAAAUGCUUUCAACCUUUGGUUCCAGGAGUUGUCUGUCUGCCUAUACCAAUUUUAAACAAAAUCCUUUAAUGUUCUCCUGUAAUUUGGUCCAAUACAGCCUGGUCUCCAAGACAAAAUAUGCAAAAUAUUUUGUGACAUUUCAUUCCCCAAACAAAAGGUAAUGGGAAAACAUCAUUAUAUUGAUUUGUUUUUCAUCACAGAGGUAUUUGGCAGCAUGCCCUAAUUAAGGUUGUAGCAAUAAUUUUAUUAUAAGCACUGCUUUGCCUCCCCUGGUAAUUUUUUAAUAGGAGUUAGCUAUUAGUCUGUUAUUUUGGUUUGCUAAUAAAGAAAAAAAAAAUAUGUUACAAUGGAAACCUCCCAUGUAGAAAGCAACCAAAGCUAGUUGUCUUCAGACCUGGAAAAGCAUUUCUUUUUUUCUGUCUUCCCAUUGGAAUGGAUGACCACUAAAUUCUUCCCUGACUGCUGUCUUCCUAGGCCUGCCCCCACACCCAGGGAAGUUUAAGCAGUGACUUGAGCACCACCUGCUAGGAUGUGUUUUGUCAAGACUGAUAUCUCUAUUAUACCCUUUCUUCACUUCAUAUUUGGCGGACUUGGCUAUAGGCAAACUGAAAUGAAUCUGCAGCAGUGGCAUAGUCUGAUAGGUGAAACAGACUAAUUUGUAUGUGUUUUCCCACUGAAAAUGGCAAAAUUCCAGCCACUGAACGUUCACGAGUAUUCUGCUCAUUGUGUUCAAGCCAAAAAGUCUCCACAGGACAUUAGGGUUUGACCCGAUGUCCGCAGACACGCUGCACACAACCCAAGUGUGGUGGCACACUGGGUGGCCAUGCAGGACUUCCCUUCGAUGGAGCCUUCUGGCCCACCAGUGGGAGUGCAGGUGACUCCUGCAGACUUUCUCUCAAAUCUCUUUGGAGGAAAUUAAAAUAAGCCUUUGCAGAAACUGGAGGAAUCGGAAUGCACCCAGCCAUUUUCUGGAUUUAAUGCUACCUCUUGUGUUAUUGUCUUCAGUCUCUGAAAAACAGAACUGUCCAGUAGAUAAUGACUGUUAGAUUACUAAUUAGCACAUUUCUGUUAUCUUGGAGCAAAUACAUUUUUUAUGCUUUCCCUCCUAUUAAAGUAUUUCAGAAAACAAAACAGAAAAAGCAAAAUCUAAUUCAUAAUCGAGUGUUAUGGGCCAUCAAUUCUUGUAUUUCAAGAACAUAGGCUGGAAAGGGGAACGUCUGCUGCUCCUGCCCAGGGUACCCUCCCACAUUCUGCAUCUCCAAGGAGAGACUGUUCCAGCAGGAUGAGCUGGUAUAGCGAG